GAUAAAAUAGUAUAAGCAUUACGUCUCAUUUACACUGAGAAAAUUAAAUUUAUUUAUUUUAUUU
Molecule: transfer RNA, 64 nt
Filed under: Perna canaliculus (greenshell mussel)
Lineage: Eukaryota; Metazoa; Mollusca; Bivalvia; Mytilida; Mytilidae
Description: tRNA-Val
Source: RNAcentral